UGCUCUGUGUCUCUCCUGUUUUUGGUUGCGAUGAGAAGAAGUGACAUUCCCCAGAGUGAGGUUUGUAGUUGCUGUUCUCUAGAGGGGUGAUGUAUCUCUAUUUUUACCUGGCUGUAUUACCAUGGGUACGUACUCUGAACACAUAACCAGGUCAUGUUCAGAGUUUUGGUUUAAACUUGUCUCCAGGUGCCAUGUUUCAGUGCUUCUUACAUUAAAGUAUUUUUUAAAGUACAAUGUAGAUUCUUUUUUUAUUUCCAUUGUUGGGGAAUGCAUUUUAAAAGUGCGAGCUGGUAGCUCGUACAGUACUAAAAGAACUGAAUGAAGCAUGACAUAGCUCCUUCCUACUCUUAAUGAAUUUUAGGCCACAGGUCACAUUUACCCGUACAGUUAUUCUAUGCACUUUAAGGACUUUGGUUACCAGCUUUAUCUUUCUGAUAUCCAUGGUCAGUUUAUAACAUCCUGUUCCCUGCAUGCUGCUAGAUGCAGUUACACUAAGUGCAUGUGAACAUUUUACAAUCAAAGAACUUUGACUUCAGCAGCUUCAAAGACGUGUGCAGCAGAAAGCGAUCAAGAGAUUAAAGCGUGCAACACAGCAGAUAUCAUGUUUGAAAGUUGCCACAAAAUGAAAUUCAUGAGACCCCCUUUGGUGUCUGCUGCCCAUAUCCUGUCAGUUUAUGAUAUUGUGUGUAGACAGGAUGCUGAUUGGUUGAAAAACUACCCAGAGCAAGAGCAGCGUUAACCACAGAAGGAAGGAGUGUGUCAAAAAAAAGAGCCAGCAGAGAAACCCUGACAGACGGCAGUGGACAGUUCUCGUUGUCUUUAACACUUUCAUUUACUUUUGUGCAGCUAAGAUAAAAGAGCAACCGACAUUUUUAUUAAAACGUGUAAACACGAUGCAGAGCCUUGCAGAGCCAGAGCGCCAGCUGGUUAUUGAAUGAAUUUUCAAAAUAAGAGCGAGGUCCACUGAGUCUACCUGAUGGAGUCCAACAGCUGCAUCAAUGUUGAAUUUUUGGAUACAGCUGAGGAUUCCUUCUACUUUGGAGUGGUUCAACAAGAUACAGAUUUGAAGGAGGAUGAUUUCACACAGCCAAAAGACCAUCAUUGGUCCAUUGAGAGCACGAAUGGUUUUGGAUACCUCAUUUUAAACCAAGAAGACACAUUCGUGCUCCAGACCUGCUGUGAGAAGAAACUCUGCAUCAGGACCUAUCGGAGCUCUUUUGUAAACGAAAAGUUGCCAGUCAUGAUAUAUACCCAAAAGAAUGACCAGACAAUGGUGGCAUGUUGUAAGGAGCACAAAAUUCAAGCUGUACCAAUGGUAAGUACAAAAAGUCAUUCAGAGUUGGUUUUAGUGCACUCACAGUUAUUCUGA
This 1369-nucleotide long non-coding RNA is filed under the name Oreochromis niloticus (Nile tilapia). Its description in RNAcentral is "lncRNA (ENSONIG00000033588.1)". Lineage: Eukaryota; Metazoa; Chordata; Actinopteri; Cichliformes; Cichlidae. The record is from RNAcentral.